AGUGAACGCUGGCGGUAGGCCUAACACAUGCAAGUCGAACGGCAGCACAGAGGAGCUUGCUCCUUGGGUGGCGAGUGGCGGACGGGUGAGGAAUACAUCGGAAUCUACUCUGUCGUGGGGGAUAACGUAGGGAAACUUACGCUAAUACCGCAUACGACCUACGGGUGAAAGCAGGGGAUCCUCGGACCUUGCGCGAUUGAAUGAGCCGAUGUCGGAUUAGCUAGUUGGCGGGGUAAAGGCCCACCAAGGCGACGCUCCGUAGCUGGUCUGAGAGGAUGAUAAGACACAUGUGAACUGAGACACAGUCCAGACUCCUACGGGAGGCAGCAGUGGGGAAUAUUGGCAAAUGGGCGCAAGCCUGAUCCAGCCAUACCUCGUUGGUUAAGAAGGCCUUCGGGUUGUAAAGCCCUUUUGUUGGGAAAAAAAUCCAUCUGGUUAAUACCCGGGUGGGAUGACGGUACCCAAAGAAUAAGCACCGGCUAACUCCGUGCCAGCCGCCGCCGUAA
Molecule: ribosomal RNA, 506 nt
Filed under: uncultured bacterium
Lineage: Bacteria
Description: partial 16S ribosomal RNA
Rfam family: Bacterial small subunit ribosomal RNA
Source: RNAcentral